ACACUUUGGGAUAUUUGACUUUCUUCUCUUCUCUUCUCUUUUUUUUUUCUUUUUUGUCCAUCGAAAGAUCGUUUCAAGUUUUUGGAAGAAGAAGGAUGG
Molecule: non-coding RNA, 99 nt
Filed under: Compsopogon caeruleus
Lineage: Eukaryota; Rhodophyta; Compsopogonophyceae; Compsopogonales; Compsopogonaceae
Source: RNAcentral